Molecule: RNA transcript, 2662 nt
Organism: Brassica rapa (field mustard)
Lineage: Eukaryota; Viridiplantae; Streptophyta; Magnoliopsida; Brassicales; Brassicaceae
Source: RefSeq, a predicted model, not a curated record
GAUGACCGAACCGACCGAACCGACCGAACCACAGUCCGUCUUCCCUGACCAACUCGACGUUCUAAGACCCACGGUCGAGCCAGACUUAGCUUGGGUCGUGAAGAAACCGAAGACGGACAUGCAUUUUUAUCCGACGGACCAUCCGGACAGUCCCGCAAGUGUCCUUAUCUUUACCCAUGAAUCUAUCUAGUUCAGAUGAACCUGGACAUUAUCUGAAGGGUCAUCUUUGACCAAUCUACAUGGAAGACUGAGUCUUUAACUCAUUAAUUCAGAUCUGGUCAAAUUUGUAUUUUCAAUGCAUUAUUUUGUAUUUUCUUUAUUAGUCUUUGACUACAAACAAUGUAGUCUCAUUCUAUAAAUAAAAUCAUUCUAUGUUUUUGUUUUUUUUCUGAGUGAGAGAGAGAGUUCUUUAGCUAGUUCAUUGGUGUGAACCGGCUUGUUGAUUUGGUGGUCAGCCAAUUCGUCUUUGUGUGUUGUUUGGUGGUUACUCAACACAUUCAUUCAUUCUUGGGUGGUUAGCCUUAGAUCCUGAGUAUAUCAAGAGUCAUUCCGCAUCUUUUGACAAUCAUUUUAAUCCAUUUCAGUUCUAGAAAUGCCGUUUGCCUUUUCGGAUCAUAUCCAACACCCAGCUAAAGUGAUCCUUCAAUUUAAGGCGUAUCAAAAUCAGUAAACAAGACUUAUAGGCCUUGGAAAAAUUAACGCACCGUCCGUCGGAUGGGAUGAGGUUCACGACACGAAAGAGCAGGCGUGGAUAAUCCCAUUAGCCGUGGACGGUCGGAGCGCUACAAAACGUUUCUGAAUUUGCCUCAAAUGCAAACAGAGACACUCCUCUGAUUUGCCUAAAGAUCACAAUUAGAGGAUGAUGAAAGCGUAAAGGUGAAGAAGUCUAUAACCGUCUCUUCUUUGUUCAGUGGCUAACUCAGCUUCACUCAAAGAGGCUUCUUGUGCCAAGGUCAGCUUCUGUACUCAUCAUGUACGUAAUAAGAUAAUCAAAAAAAAAAAGUUAAGAUAGCCCUUUGUUUAGUAAGUUUAAUAACAGAUAGAAAGCCCCCCAAAAAUCGGACGACACACAUUACAAUAAAGAAAAGGAAAAACAAAUAAUUCUGAGAAUAAAUACGAAAAAACUUUGAACUGCUCGGAAGCUCAACAAAAGGCGAGACGAGAGAGAAGAAGAGGACGAAAAAUUCGAAUCUUCUUCAAAACAUCUAAAAGAAGAGGAAGGAGACGCCAAGUUUUCUUGAAUGGAGCCUCCUCCAGAAAGAUCGAAACGCCUCCACAACUUCACCUUACCUUACCUCCGCUGGGGCCAACAAAGAUUCCUCAGAUGCGUCAAUCUACCAUCACAUUCCCAUCAUUCAUCUCCUUCUUCCUCUUCUCCAUCUCCAGAUCACGCAACCCAGAGAUCUUCCCCCAUCAAUGGAGCUGUGACGACGGCUCGGCCGUGGAAUCUAAGGACGAGAGGAGCUGCGUGUGGUGAACCAGGUGACGGAUUGCCGGCAAUGAAGAGAGGUAUAGGCGAAGAAGAAUCGGAGAAGAAUGAGAAACUGAAAUUCUCGGUUUCGUUGUUGAAAGCAGAGAUUGAAGAGGAUUACUCAAUUAUAAUCGGGAAAAGACCUCCGAGGAGACCUAAGAAGAGACCAAGAAUUGUUCAGAAGAAACUCAAUACGAUUUUUCCGGGGAUGUGGUUGUCAGAAGAAGUUACAAUAGAUUCAUAUAAUGUCCCUGAAGCUGUGGAAACGUGACAAAGGAAUGCGCAGUGUGUGUAACUUUUCUUCCGUUUAUUAUGCAUCAAGCAUUAAAGGUGGCUUGAGUCUUGUUGUUGCCAGUGCUGGUAUAUUAAUAGCUAUGCAAGAUUUCUUGUUCUCGAGUAUGUUUCAUGGCUCGGUCCCUCCACGUCAAGAAUGAUCUGUGAUUAAAUCGAUACAUAUAACAGGUACAUUGAUAACGACUAUGACCUGCACCAACCCCUGGCCUUUAACUGAAGAGAUGAACUCUUCUUGAUUCAUCAAACUCUUUCGAGUUCCAUAUCUCGAACAGCAUGAUCCUUUCUUUCCAUGUAACCAUAGCUUCGACUGCUCCAAAACGUCUUUACAAUUACUAACUCCCUCCCAUCACUUCUUCUCUUUCUCCCGCCACAACCGUUACCGGCAAAACACAGCGAGAAGGAAACCAACCAGUGGUGCAAACUCUGACUCAGAGGCAGAAGAGUCAUCAAACUCAUCUCACGAAAAUCAACUUAACUAUAGGUCGCCUUCUUCCUCUUAUAUGUGUUACAAAGCGUAUCAGUUUAGGCCACAAAAGCACGCGGGAAAAAGUGGUGAAGGAGGAGGAAGCUUUUCGGUCAUUCCUGUCCUUAAUGGUCAAUCUUACGACGUUCAUUCCAAAAAAUAAAGAUACGAUAAAGUAGCUGACCACAGGACUAAGAGAGAUUCAUAACUUUUUCCCCCAUUUUUGAUUAACAAUCGUGAUAAAGCAUAACUUGAACAUAUUGUGAGCUUGUUUACAACAAAUAAAGUCAAUUAUACACGAAUUUGCGUAGCUCAUAUUAAAAAUCGGAUAUACAAACAAGUACAGUUACAAUCGUAAAGCAAGAUGUUUUUUCUUUUUAAACUGAACAUAGUUUUCAUUUUCAAAAGCGCUAUCUGAGAUCAAUGACAUCGAA